Molecule: ribosomal RNA, 151 nt
Filed under: Cystorchis luzonensis
Lineage: Eukaryota; Viridiplantae; Streptophyta; Magnoliopsida; Asparagales; Orchidaceae
Description: 5.8S ribosomal RNA
Rfam family: 5.8S ribosomal RNA
About the family: 5.8S ribosomal RNA (5.8S rRNA) is a component of the large subunit of the eukaryotic ribosome.
Source: RNAcentral
UGGAACAACCCUCGGCAAGGGAUUUCUGGGCUCUGGCACCAAUAAAAAGCGCACGAAAUUCCAAUACUGGUUGUAAUUGGAAAAUUCCCGCGAACCAUCGGUAAUUUGAACGCAGUCGCGCCCGAGGCCAAUUGGCUAAGGCACGUCCGCC